CAGUAGCCGCGGGAAUACGGAGGGAGCUAGCGUUGUUCGGAAUUACUGGGCGUAAAGCGCGCGUAGGCGGUUACUCAAGUCAGAGGUGAAAGCCCGGGGCUCAACCCCGGAACUGCCUUUGAAACUAGGUGACUAGAAUCUUGGAGAGGUCAGUGGAAUUCCGAGUGUAGAGGCGAAAUUCGUAGAUAUUCGGAAGAAUACCAGUGGCGAAGGCGACUGACUGGACAAGUAUUGACGCUGAGGUGCGAAAGCGUGGGGAGCAAACAGGAUUAGAUACCCGGGUAGUCCCUGUCUCUUAUAA
RNAcentral lists this ribosomal RNA (301 nucleotides) under uncultured bacterium. Its description in RNAcentral is "partial 16S ribosomal RNA". It matches the Rfam family "Bacterial small subunit ribosomal RNA", at positions 509 to 809 of the family's 1533-position model. The record is from RNAcentral.